UGCAAUGGCAGAUUGCCUCAUGUGCCCUGGCGUAAUAAGAUUUAUCUUUCGCUUGUGCAUUGAGACGAUCCCGCCGCAAACCCCCAAUUUUUUCUGGUUGACCUCGGAUCAGGUAGGGAUACCCGCUGAACUUAAGCAUAUCAAUAAGCGGAGGAAAAGAAACCAACAGGGAUUGCCUCAGUAACUGCGAGUGAAGCGGCAAAAGCUCAAAUUUGAAAUCUGGCGCCUUCGGCGUCCGAGUUGUAAUUUGGAGAGGCAUCUUCGGAUAUGGCGCCGUCCUAAGUUCCUUGGAACAGGACGUCACAGAGGGUGAGAAUCCCGUGCCUGGUCGGCUGUCCAUAUCCAUGUGAAGUGUCUUCGACGAGUCGAGUUGUUUGGGAAUGCAGCUCAAAAUGGGUGGUAAAUUUCAUCUAAAGCUAAAUAUUGGCGAGAGACCGAUAGCGCACAAGUAGAGUGAUCGAAAGAUGAAAAGAACUUUGAAAAGAGAGUUAAAAAGUACGUGAAAUUGUUGAAAGGGAAGCGCUUGAGACCCCACUCGAUCUUUGGUGAUCAGCUAGGCUUCUGUCUGGUGCACUUGCCAUUGAUUGGGCCAGCAUCGGUUCUGACGGCGGGAUAAAAGGCAGAGGAAUGUGGCUCUCUUCGGGGAGUGUUAUAGCCUCAGUCAUAAUGCCGCCAG
Molecule: ribosomal RNA, 676 nt
Filed under: Pezizomycetes sp.
Lineage: Eukaryota; Fungi; Ascomycota; Pezizomycetes
Description: eukaryotic LSU rRNA
Rfam family: Eukaryotic large subunit ribosomal RNA (bases 99-676)
Source: RNAcentral